GCCAGCGCAGCACGACGGGUGGUGCACCGCAUUCGUAACGCGGCGGAUCCGGUUCGAGCCCGGACGCUGGCU
This 72-nucleotide transfer RNA is filed under the name Phytohabitans maris. Its description in RNAcentral is "tRNA-Thr". It matches the Rfam family "tRNA". Rfam says of the family: Transfer RNA (tRNA) molecules are approximately 80 nucleotides in length. Their secondary structure includes four short double-helical elements and three loops (D, anti-codon, and T loops). Further hydrogen bonds mediate the characteristic L-shaped molecular structure. tRNAs have two regions of fundamental functional importance: the anti-codon, which is responsible for specific mRNA codon recognition, and the 3' end, to which the tRNAs corresponding amino acid is attached (by aminoacyl-tRNA synthetases). tRNAs cope with the degeneracy of the genetic code in two manners: having more than one tRNA (with a specific anti-codon) for a particular amino acid; and 'wobble' base-pairing, i.e. permitting non-standard base-pairing at the 3rd anti-codon position. Lineage: Bacteria; Bacillati; Actinomycetota; Actinomycetes; Micromonosporales; Micromonosporaceae. The record is from RNAcentral.